RNAcentral lists this unclassified non-coding RNA (43 nucleotides) under Synechocystis sp. PCC 6803. Its description in RNAcentral is "crRNA from Synechocystis sp. PCC 6803 (PDB 7SBA, chain Z)". The record is from RNAcentral. Lineage: Bacteria; Bacillati; Cyanobacteriota; Cyanophyceae; Synechococcales; Merismopediaceae.
ACUGAAACGAUUGUUGUGCCCCUGGCGGUCGCUUUCAAUGCCU